GACGAACGCUGGCGGCGUGCUUAACACAUGCAAGUCGAACGGUAAGGCCCUUCGGGUACGACGAGUGGCGAACGGGUGAGUAACACGUGGGUGAUCUGCCCUGCACUUCGGGAUAAGCUUGGGAAACUGGGUCUAAUACCGGAUAGGACCACGGUCUGCAUGGAUUGUGGUGGAAAGCUUUUGCGGUGUGGGAUGGGCCCGCGGCCUAUCAGCUUGUUGGUGGGGUGAUGGCCUACCAAGGCGACGACGGGUAGCCGGCCUGAGAGGGUGUCCGGCCACACUGGGACUGAGAUACGGCCCAGACUCCUACGGGAGGCAGCAGUGGGGAAUAUUGCACAAUGGGCGCAAGCCUGAUGCAGCGACGCCGCGUGGGGGAUGACGG
RNAcentral lists this ribosomal RNA (382 nucleotides) under uncultured bacterium. RNAcentral describes it as "bacterial SSU rRNA". It matches the Rfam family "Bacterial small subunit ribosomal RNA", at positions 28 to 414 of the family's 1533-position model. The record is from RNAcentral.